UACGUAGGGUGCGAGCGUUAAUCGGAAUUACUGGGCGUAAAGCGUGCGCAGGCGGUUCGUUGUGUCGGCGGUGAAAUCCCCGGGCUCAACCUGGGAAUGGCCGUUGAAACUGGCGAACUGGAGUGUGGCAGAGGGGGGGUGGAAUUCCGCGUGUAGCAGUGAAAUGCGUAGAGAUGCGGAGGAACACCGAUGGCGAAGGCAGCCCCCCUGGGCUGACACUGACGCUCAGGCACGAAAGCGUGGGGAGCGAACAGGAUUAGAUACCCCAGUCCAACACGACUC
RNAcentral lists this ribosomal RNA (282 nucleotides) under uncultured bacterium. RNAcentral describes it as "partial 16S ribosomal RNA". It matches the Rfam family "Bacterial small subunit ribosomal RNA", at positions 524 to 807 of the family's 1533-position model. The record is from RNAcentral.